This 71-nucleotide transfer RNA is filed under the name Chromodoris magnifica. Its description in RNAcentral is "tRNA-Asp". It matches the Rfam family "tRNA". Rfam says of the family: Transfer RNA (tRNA) molecules are approximately 80 nucleotides in length. Their secondary structure includes four short double-helical elements and three loops (D, anti-codon, and T loops). Further hydrogen bonds mediate the characteristic L-shaped molecular structure. tRNAs have two regions of fundamental functional importance: the anti-codon, which is responsible for specific mRNA codon recognition, and the 3' end, to which the tRNAs corresponding amino acid is attached (by aminoacyl-tRNA synthetases). tRNAs cope with the degeneracy of the genetic code in two manners: having more than one tRNA (with a specific anti-codon) for a particular amino acid; and 'wobble' base-pairing, i.e. permitting non-standard base-pairing at the 3rd anti-codon position. Lineage: Eukaryota; Metazoa; Mollusca; Gastropoda; Nudibranchia; Chromodorididae. The record is from RNAcentral.
UUUAGUUUAGUUUUAAAUAAAAACAAUAGCUUGUCGAGCUUUAAAUACAAAAUUAAACUUUGUAACUAAAA